AUGGUUCCUUAGAUCGUUUCUUCCUACUUGGAUAACUGUGGCAAUUCUAGAGCUAAUACAUGCAGUGAGCCUGGAGCCCUUUGGGUAACGGGUGCUUUUAUUAGACCAAGAUCGAUCGGGUUUCGGCCCGUAUUGUGUGGUGACUCUGGAUAACUUUGUGCUGAUCGCAUGGCCACGAGCCGGCGACGUUUCUUUCAAGUGUCUGCCUUAUCAACUUUCGAUGGUAGGUUACUUGCUUACCAUGGUUGUUACGGGUAACGGAGAAUCAGGGUUCGAUUCCGGAGAGGGAGCCUGAGAAACGGCUACCACAUCCAAGGAAGGCAGCAGGCGCGCAAAUUACCCACUCCCGGCACGGGGAGGUAGUGACGAAAAAUAACAAUACGGGACUCUUUUGAGGCCCCGUAAUUGAAAUGAGUACACUCUAAAUCCUUUAACGAGGAUCAAUUGGAGGGCAAGUCUGGUGCCAGCAGCCGCGGUAAUUCCAGCUCCAAUAGCGUAUACUAAAGCUGCUGCGGUUAAAAAGCUCGUAGUUGGAUCUCAGUUCCAGACGAGUAGUGCAUCUACCCGAUGCGACGGCUCGGACUGAACAUCAUGCCGGUUCUUUCUUGGUGCACUUCAUUGUGUGCCUCGAGAUGGCCGGUGCUUUUACUUUGAAAAAAUUAGAGUGCUCAACGCAGGCGAGUCGCCUGAAUAAACUUGCAUGGAAUAAUAGAACAAGACCUCGUUUCUGUUCUGUUGGUUUUUGGAAUACGAGGUAAUGAUUAAGAGGGACGGACGGGGGCAUUCGUAUUGCGGCGCUAGAGGUGAAAUUCUUGGACCGUCGCAAGACGAACUACUGCGAAAGCAUUUGCCAAGAAUGUUUUCAUUGAUCAAGAACGAAAGUCAGAGGUUCGAAGGCGAUCAGAUACCGCCCUAGUUCUGACCAUAAACGAUGCCAACCAGCGAUCCGCCUGAGUUACUCAAAUGACUCGGCGGGCAGCUUCCGGGAAACCAAAGUAUUUGGGUUCCGGGGGAAGUAUGGUUGCAAAGCUGAAACUUAAAGGAAUUGACGGAAGGGCACCACCAGGAGUGGAGCCUGCGGCUUAAUUUGACUCAACACGGGAAAACUUACCCGGCCCGGACACUGGGAGGAUUGACAGAUUGAGAGCUCUUUCUUGAUUCGGUGGAUGGUGGUGCAUGGCCGUUCUUAGUUGGUGGAGCGAUUUGUCUGGUUAAUUCCGAUAACGAACGAGACUCUAGCCUAUUAAAUAGGUGCGGGGUUCCCAGCACCUUACAACCUUCUUAGAGGGACAAGCGGCUCCUAGCCGCACGAAACAGAGCAAUAACAGGUCUGUGAUGCCCUUAGAUGUCCGGGGCCGCACGCGCGCUACACUGAAGGAAGCAGCGUGUCUUUAUCCCUGUCUGAAAAGACUGGGUAACCCGUGGAACUUCUUUCGUGAUUGGGAUAGGGGCUUGCAAUUGUUCCCCUUGAACGAGGAAUUCCCAGUAAGCGCGAGUCAUAAGCUCGCGUUGAUUACGUCCCUGCCCUUUGUACACACCGCCCGUCGCU
RNAcentral lists this ribosomal RNA (1549 nucleotides) under Rhipicephalus turanicus. Its description in RNAcentral is "SSU rRNA". It matches the Rfam family "Eukaryotic small subunit ribosomal RNA", at positions 112 to 1680 of the family's 1831-position model. Lineage: Eukaryota; Metazoa; Arthropoda; Arachnida; Ixodida; Ixodidae. The record is from RNAcentral.